Molecule: long non-coding RNA, 934 nt
Filed under: Equus caballus (horse)
Lineage: Eukaryota; Metazoa; Chordata; Mammalia; Perissodactyla; Equidae
Description: lncRNA (ENSECAG00000050300.1)
Source: RNAcentral
GGGGAAUCCUGGCUUGGCUGAGCCAAAGCAGGAGCCGGCCUCCCUCCUCACGUGGAGCUGGGACAGGAUCACAAGCAGGAUGUUUGGGUGGCACCUCCACCCUUCCCUCUGUGUGGCCCCUGGGACCUGCAUUGCCUCCAGCCUGGGGCCCUCUCCCUCCCCUGUUUGCCUGCUAGAGCCCAGGGUCUCAGCUCCCUUCACCAGGGCUGCACACCUCCAGAAAGCACACCUGGGCGUGGUAGGGCCCGCAGUCCAGAGAACUUUCGAAGUGCAAAGCCCACCGGCGGCACCUGGAAAGGGGCGGGUGGAGUGCAGGCCAGAAGCUGGGGAUUUUUCCUUAAUAACAACCUGGCGCCCUAAUUCAUUGGCGGCUCUGCCUGCCUGCAAGCUGGCUUGCACCCCCUCUCCCCUCCUGGAGAAGCCUUCAUCUUCAAAGCUUUUUGGGAAACAGUUAAUUAACCCCCACAGCCCUACCACCUGCCCAGAAGGCUGCUGGUUCCCUCUUCUCCAUGGGGCGGGGAAAGGGGAGGGCCAGGGAAACUGAAGCCUGAAGAAAGAGUGUGUGGCUGGGACCUGAGAGAUCGCAGGAUCCCAGACAAGGAAGCUGCCUUCCCUUUCAAUCCCCCCCAGCCCCACCCCUCAAAGGGCUGGUGGGACCCCCAGAGGCCAAGCCACACAGCCAAAGUGCUAAGGGUUGAGGAGCUUAUCUUGCAACACAGUUUAUUUUGGGCCCUCCAGCGAGUCUGACUCCCCUGCUUCUCUCCCUUGCCUGUUCUUCACUUGAGAAUUCUUCAGGGUAACCCCAUGCCGCUGUGUCCCGGAGCGAACCAAGGGCAAAGCAGCAAAGGCCACUGCAAACUUCCUCAAGGCCUUCCGUUGGUUGCUCACUCACUGCACCAGAGUUUGGACAAACGGUUUUGCUUUGCUGGGCCUC